UUUCUCUCCUCUUACUCCCUCCAUUCCCCUCUCUCUAAAAAUAAAUAAAAUCUUUUUUAAAAAUUCAAAGUAUGAAGUAAGUACGCUAGGGUGUUUUGGUGACUGUUGGAGCCUCUUUAGAACUCAUUUUCCCUCAUCUGAGUUUCUUGUACAGAGACUUAUGAGCUGAUUACUGAUUGAGACUUUCAGGUAUGUACAUACAGUGUAUGUCUGUAUGUCUGUCGUAUGUUUGUCCGAGGAGGGGGCAUGAUAUCUGUGCUCUCAGGGUGUCAGUUUUGUCUGGAGCGAAGAGUAACAAGGUCACGGGAGUGACCCUAAAGCUCUAGCGUAACGCUGUAUUAUAUAGAAAAGGAAACAGAGAUCCAGGGAGGUGGGGCACCCUGCCCAAAGUCCUGUAGCCCAUGGGACGGAACCGGGAACAGAACACACACGUCUUGACUUCUGGCCAUGUACCGCACAGAGGCAACACACGUGGGCACUGGAGCAUCAGGGGCUUAGUUUCCAAUGGUAGCUCUUCCGUUAGCCAUGAGACCUUGUGCAACGAAUUCCUCUGCUUUCAUUACUUGUAAAGUGGGGGUAAUAAUUCCUGCUUCAGAGGGUCGUUACUGUGAGGCUUAAAUGAGUAACGUUACACAUAAUAUGCUUAGAACAGUGCUUGAUACAUAGUGAGCACUCAAUAAAUAACCGUUGUUCCUGUCAUUAAUCUGCCCCAUUACAUCACGUUAGACCCAUCUACUUCAGCCUUCACCACUCGUGUGUGUUUAUCAUUGUUUUCAUUUCAUUUCUUUCAUUUGACCUGUCUGUUUACAGCUCAUUAGAAUUGCAAUGUGCAAUGUGAUACAGUAGCUUGCCAGUCAUAUAGAAGCUCGGGGUGGUUUGGCACGCACCCAGGAUUCCAACCACCUGUGGUAACUGUUGCCAAAGUAUAGUAGAUUUUUAUUUCCCAUAAAUUGUUCAACCAGAGGUCCACAUCAUUAAUAUGACUUUGUGUCUUUACAAAAAAAAAUGUCUUUCUCCUUUUACAAAAGUAUUGUGUUUCCCACCAGUUCUGUGAAGCUGAGCAAUCACUUGGGUCUUCUUGUUCCUGCCUCUUGAAAAUGCUUUUUAAAAGGUGGCAGAUGUGCCAGCGGGAUCACCUGAAAUGACUUUCUGAGAUAAACCUGCCCAAGAUAGGAAGAGAAAACUAUUUUUUCUUCUCCAGCAAUCCAAGCGGCCAGUCUGUGUGAUCCCAUCACGAUGGGGCACUUAGCAAACCAGGAAGCGAUAACAAGGAAUAGCUUUCUACUUUCCAUAGUUUCUGUGCUCAUUAACAAUUGAUGACUUUUCCUUUAGGGUGGCGUUCUCAGCUGCAGCGGGACCCGGCCCCCAGUACCGUGUCUGCUUGUUAGGUGUAAGCAGUGUGUGCUUGUCCUUGGUGGCGAACUUCUAACAGCAGCCAGAGUGAAUGUCAGGGAGGCAAUGCAGGCUGUGUUUUGAAAAUCUGGGGUGGGGGUCCAGACACGUUCUAACUUAUAUUUUCAUGCUUUCUGUCACGAGCCAUAGUUGCAGUUACGAGCCAACACUUUGUAAGAGCUUUCCUGUGAUACCAUGUCUGCCCCUAAAUCCAGGUGUGAUCGGAUUCCCACUAGGUUCCACUCUGUAGCAGGCCUCGCUUGUGGGUGGGAUAUGCUGCAGGUCCAGCCCGGUCCCUUGGAAUGCCACCAUAGUAAAAAAAAUGUCAUAACAGGUUUAUGUUCUUGUUGUAAAACAUAGAGUCAUAUAGAGUAUUCUCUAACAGCAACUUUGGAAAAGGGGACUCUAAUCAGUGAUUCACUAAGUAGAAGUAAACUGAAAUUUUCUUGUCCUCAUUUCACAUUUGAUGUUUCUUGGCUCUAGAAAAAAAGCAGGUGUAUAUUUUCUGCAAAGCAGUGACUAAAGGCCUGUAAUUGCAUGUGGUGUUAAAUAGUCGAAGUCCAGAUAUUUUUUUUUCUGGGAACAUUGUUGGGUCAGUGCUGGACAUUAUUUUCUACCAAGCAUGAAGAUGCUAUUUUUAAAAGCACUACUUACUUUUUUUUUUUCCCUUUUCUGAUCCCCCCCUCUCCUUGUCCCAAAGUCCUCUUAUCUCUUCUCAAAAUAAAAAUAGCCCUUUCUCCCAGUAAGCUGACUUGUAAAUUCAUAUAAGAGUGAGAUAAAAAUACCGUAUUGUAUUUCCAAUUAACUCAUUUAAUUAGAUGAGGUGAAUUAAUUGGAUUUUUGGACAUGUUUCUGAAAGUCGAAGAAAUUCGCUUUUGGAAUUCCCAAGUGUGGUGGCGGCGGCCUGGGAGCUUUCUCAGUGUGCUGCUGCUGUCCAGGACAUGGUGUAAGAGCUGUCAUCCGAAGCCUGUCAUUUGAGUCCCCCUUGGGGGUAUGAAAGUGGCCUAGUGAUUUUUCAGAUAGAAGAGCAUAAAUCAGCAGGCCAUUUGGCUUUCCCUCCAGCCCGGGGCAUUCCCUGGUUAUCACCAGCCUCAUCGGAGGAGCCUUGAGUAAACAUUUCUGUGUCCACACUGCCCAGAUGAGAUGGUAAUCUACGGGUUGGGUUCCAACACUCUUUCUUAGAAGGAGUCUGAAGUUCUCCUCUCCAUCUCUUGCCUCACCCCGUAUAAUUUUAGGGCCCUGGGCAUGCGGGCCCUGAGGGCCCACCUUAUGCCUGGGGAAGUUCUGGCAUUUAGACUGGGGGCAGUUUUAACCAGUAGAUCAUUCUCCUUUGCACUAUAAUUACUUAGUUUUCCUCUCUCUAGGUUUAUACACCUUCUGGGGUAAAAGCUGGUUUAUUCUCUGGAUGCCAGAGUGCACCCCUACCACCCGCCCCUGCAGCCCCCCCCCCCCCCCCCCCCCCCCCCCCACCACAGUGUGCUUGAUAGGCACUUGGUAAGACGUUGCUGUAGCUGCUGAGCCCAUUCUUCCUAUAACCUAGACAUUCUAGAACCAGAAUAGGCAGAAGCGCGUUCUUGAGUUUCUUUUUUUUAGUAUGGUCUUUUUCAAGCAUAGAUCAGAGGAGCCAGACAAAAAGUAUUGGGGGCCAGGUAUACAACACCUCCUUUCAUGGUGGGAAAAUGCUGCUGAUAGGUUCUUUCUCUCUGCCAUUUGCCUCCAAAUGUCGUUUAAUCACCAGGUUUUUGGGUUGUUUCACACUUUAUAUCCCACUUGGACACACAUUGGUAAGUCUUGUCUCCAGAUUUGUGUAGUUUUUAUUGGCAUCUCAGGUGUUAGCACGGGGAGUAGAUAGUAGAUUUUUAAGAAGUAUCGUCCAAGGAGUGUCUUUAGUCAUAGUGGCCUGUUGGUGCAGAAAGACUUUUGGAAUUAAAUUAUCAGAAUUAUUUAAUUUUGUUCAGAAUAAACAGUCCAAAGGGCGUGCUGAAUGAAUAGAAAAAUAAGUAUACAAAGAAGUUUAGUAGGACCCCCCCCCCCCCCCACACACACCAACACACGCCCCCUUUCAGGUUCAGCAGAGCAGGUGUAAAGGGAGAGAUUCAUCAACAUCAGAUGAUGUCUGGCAGCUUUGAAAUAACUUGCACCUUGUCAUUUGCUACGAGUGGGUUCCUGGUCCUAACUCUGUCAUAUCCCUAAAAGCCUGCUCUAUGGAACUUGAACUGCACGGCGUUGUCUAAGAUGGGGCCGAGUUCCUGGCCACGUGGAGCUUCUGGCUUCCUUCCAGGGUGCAGGCUGAAGGAGUGAAGUCCUCGAGGAGAGUCAGGGUGGAGCUCCUCAGGCAUCUCCACCAUCCGAGAACCCUUUGUUCAUUCCUUUGGUCCUUCAACUGCCCCCGCGAGGAAGGGACCGACUGCCGCUGGGACCAGAACCUCAGUCCGUGCUGUCAGCUGCUGAGUGGGGCGCCGGCAUGCCAUGCUCUGCCAGCCACGCGUGACACAGUCAGCUUUUUCGGACUCCAACCCCGUAACAUGCACGUGGGAUACAGUUCUGUGGCCUCAUCCACUGGGGACGUGCUUUCCCGAGAUUUCAGCUUUCAGGGCUCAUCCCUCCGCCACUUCCUCGUUUCCUGGAGGCCUUUGACUGGCACUUCUCCGCAGAGCAGCACCUGGCACCUCCCGCUACCACGGCCGUGCACGCAUUUCCCACACCUCUUUCUCCAGGGUACUCUGUAGCCCUUAUCAAGGGCCACCAGAGGCGCCUUGUGGCUGACCCCCCUCCCCGUACCCCUCCCUCUCAAACCCCUCUGAUCUGAGUCACCCCAUCCUACUCUCUGCUUCUUCCUUUUAGUUACUCUUUUUUUUCUUUUUUUUUUUUUCAGUAACCUCCCUUCCUCCUGUGAAGGCUUGUACUUGCACGGCUGCGCACGCGCGUGAAACCCACAUGCACAGGCAUUCACUCACACUCUUCCUGUCUCCUGACUCUCCCUUAUCCGACCUCAGGCCCCCCAACUGCCGUUGGAGUGGAGAUGCUCUAGCGCCUGAGGGUUCUCAUUGCAGAAGCGCGUGAUUGUACGUUUAACUUCUGACAGAUACAGCCACCCAAGGGUUACAGCAUAAACCACAAUCUGCCCAAAGACCAAAGUCCACUAACCAAAGAGAUUAUUCGUUUUGUGUAAAGCAAUAAAUGAAAGCUUUCCCUGAACCUGGGCCACUCUGAGAUUCUGAAUUGUAAAUAGUGUAAGUUAGGGUGUGACCCCUUAAGAAGGUGAUUUGGAAAAGGUUUGUUGACAGUCUUCCUGGAAAGCUGAUUGCCAGAUACAAUCGCAGGCUUUCCCCUUAUUUCACAUAGUGCUUUCACAAUGUUUAUUUUCUGUCUUGGCUCUAGUGAGCACAAAUCAUAACUGGCAGGAUGAUACCCAAGUCUAGGACCAGGCUGGAGAGAGGGGGUCUUGCUAUGAUUUGAUCAAAAAGCAAACAGAAAAGCAAAAAGCAAAAGAAAAAAAAAAAGAAAAGGAAGGGUAGUGUUUUUUUCUCAUUGUGGGACUAAAUUGCUACAUGCUGAAUUUUCACUUUCUGAUUAGAACUGACAGUUGAACAGAUGAUUUAUUUCUUUGGGGUCUGGAAAAAAAUGGUCAAAUUUUAGUUUGUUCUUUUCUCUGUCUCCGCCCACUUUUUUUUUUUUUAAGAGCAUGGGUGUAUUCAUCAGAUAGUAGCCACUGUAUGAAGUGUCCUUCUGUGAUAAGUGUUUGCGGGUGAAGUCUGAAUCAUGCUAGAAAUCACUCACUUUGCACUUUUCACAGGUAGCAGAAAUGAGCCUGCUUCAUUCCGUCUCAACAGCUGUAACCAGUGGGUCAGUACGGACUGGUCUGAUUCCAUAAAGGAGGGCUAAUACUGGGUCUGGGUUAAUCCAGGUGCCAAUAAAAACAUGGUUAUUUUUUUUCUCACCUCCAGGCUUUAUAUUUCCAUGAACAUUGGCCUUAAAACAAGUCUGUGAAUGACCUUGUUCAAGUAUCUCUUGCUGCUUUCAGCUCCCAAGUAAUAAGCCUAGCAAUGUUUCCUUUCUCAGCCGGAGGAAAGACGCAGUUGUUGCUCGAGACAUUUACUUUCUACCUGCUGGCUUCAAACAGUAUUAAUUUUUAUGUGCUCCUUGUGCAUUGCGUUUAAUUAAAAGCAGUUCUAUUCGCAGAGGUACUUGUAGGUUUUUUUUCUUCUCUCCCUGAAAUGAAUAAAACAAAUAGGCAUCUGGUAUUUGUUUUGUAUAACACAAUUUCCAUAAAAUGAAGAGUAAUAAAACAUAAUUAUCUGUAAAGGCUUGUUUUAUAAGCUUGAGAAUGGGCUUGUUUCUACUAGGUUUUUAAAUCCUACUCAUACGAUCAAGAAUUCUUUGUUCAUUAAUAUAUAACAAUAAUCAUGACGGAAGCCUCCCAAUUUCAUGCGUGAGUCCAGCUCAUCUUUUGUUAAAUAAAUAUUUUAUUUUCUGCUAUAGUGUACAUGGUAGAAGUUUAUCAUCACGUUUCUUCUAUGGAGACACAUCGGAUUGAAGGGAAAUAUUUAUUUCCUAUUCUGUGUUUUGUUCAAUUGGUAUAGCUUUUUUAAAUGAUAUUUCCCCAUAAUGAAAGAGACAGUUUUAUUGCCAGCUGCUGAAUUUUGUAGGUCACAGUCCACUCUGGAUUCUAAAACUUCCUUUUAGAAAAGUACACUUCAAACUUUUGCACAGGUUUUUAUAGGGUGUAUAGGCCUUACACCCCUUGGUUCAAGAACUCUGCCAGUGCCUGGUGGUUAUGGGAACCAUGCUCAUGACUGUCUGAAGCUACCGUUUUAGCUUUCGUAUAUGCAUAGCUGACGAAAGGAUGCUGCCCAAAGAUUCUGCAGCGUUGGAUUCAUUUCAGGGUUAGGCUCCUUUCUAGGAAUGGAGGCCUACUCUCAUCUGAGGAGAAACAAAUUAGAACGUGGGAAGUACAAAAAUUAUUAAUUGCAAAAGUGAGUUUGCUGUCAGAUGAGAUGGCAGUGCCUACAUCCCUGGAGCUCCUGUCCCCAAGACUGUUUUUAUUGUCCCUGCCCCGCCCGAGGCAGGAGCCUUGAAGUGGUGAAUCCGUCCUCCGAGGUUGUGGGUCCUUCGCCGAGAGAAUAAAAGAGGCAGGAACAGAAUCACGCAGCGCACUAUAUCAGGGUGACAGUUUUAUGUGGUUGUGUGAUGUUGCAGAGUCUUGUAUGUGAUAUCGACCGUUUUCUUUUGAAUCAAAGCACAGGGUUUUCCUGGGCGAGAGAGGCUUUAGAAAUAACCUAGUCUAACCCAAAAUGGAGCUCCUGAAUAGUUAUCCCAUUCUCUCUACCACUAAGCUAAUUGCUCACAGGAAGUAAAAGUACAUAGCAAUGUAGCUAUUAUUUAUAUCGUUUGAGCAUUGAUUCCUAAUUUUAGAUUUCUGACACUGAAACAUUACCUUUGUGCAUUGAAAUGAUCCUGAAACCUUUAUAUUAUUACGAAUGCAAGUCGAAUUAAAGAGCCAUAGAUACUAGGUUUCCCCCUUCAUGUUGUCAUCCACUGGACAAUGAAUAGCUUAAAAUAAGAGCAUCAGCUCCAAAGGCAAGCUGAAUAUUCCAAUUCUAGAUCGGCAGUCGCUUGGCGUGCCUAUUUGAAAUAUCACUUUCGAAUGUACUUGGCAACUGAAAGUGCCCAAUUAAAAAGCUGCGAGGAAAGAGGAAGUCUGUGGCUGUGCAAUUAGUCCUUCGGAUCCCAAGCGGUUCCUUUCUAGCUGGAAGGCCACAAUGGGAAGUCGCUGGGCACAAUAGCUGUAGGCCAGGUGCUUAGAAUGUAAGGUGGUUUCAGGAUGGAUUAUUUCUGUGCCUUUGCUCGUAAAACGGUUUACCUAAAGAGGCUCCCGACCCCAUACAGUACUGGUGGUGUGAAAAAAAAUGUGGCAGUGUGCUUUCACAAAAUUUUAGGCAAUUGAUUACAAUAGCUAGCCACAUAAGCGGUAGGUAAUACCUAACCAUAUACAGGAGUGCUUAAGUUCUCAGAUGCUGUUCUAUCCAACUGACAGCCUUACUCCUCCCACCUUUUAUUGUAUUUUAUUUUAUUUGAGAGCUGACGGUUGGGUGGCAGAGGAUAUGCCAGAGAUUGUGCUGUUCUUAUGGAAAAAAAAAGAAGCCUCACUGAGUAGAGCAAGAUGAGCCAUAUAUUCUGAGAUUAUUUAUAGUGUUUAUUACAGAGAGACCAAAAACACUAAGCACUUAAUAGCUUUCCUUAUUUACAAGUCAGAUUCAUCUAAGGGAUAUUAUUCUUUUAUUUUUCUGGUGCUGGAAGUGUUGGUUUAAAAUAGAUUAUAAGCGAGGGUACACAGUGACGCGGGAUUUGUUGGCUGUGAAAAUGCAGAAUGGAUGAAGCUUUUUUAAUGCACUGCCACAAAAAAAGUCCAUUUUAUUUAAGUAAAAACACGGCUUUUUGCCUCAGUGAAGCCCACACACACACACACAGACACAAGUAACAUAGGGCAGGUGAGUAUAUGCGUGGAUGGGGCUCUUCUUUUCCAAUUACGUAAUGAACGCAUUCCGUUCAAGUUUGUGGUAAAGUGAGUGUCUAUUCAGCGAAUUAGUUUUCCCCGGUGACUUCUGCGGUGGAAAUGGCACUGUCUUCCACCAGCUCUGAAUGUAAAAUGCGCUCAGUUACAAAUA
This is a long non-coding RNA of Phyllostomus discolor (pale spear-nosed bat), 8060 nucleotides long. RefSeq lists it as uncharacterized. The transcript has 2 exons. Lineage: Eukaryota; Metazoa; Chordata; Mammalia; Chiroptera; Phyllostomidae. The record is from RefSeq and is a predicted model, not a curated record.